RNAcentral lists this small nucleolar RNA (112 nucleotides) under Mus pahari (shrew mouse). RNAcentral's name for it is "snoRNA (MGP_PahariEiJ_G0034897.1)". It matches the Rfam family "Small nucleolar RNA SNORA17". Rfam says of the family: snoRNA ACA 17 belongs to the H/ACA family of snoRNAs and is predicted to guide pseudouridylation of the 28S rRNA at positions U4659 and U4598. Lineage: Eukaryota; Metazoa; Chordata; Mammalia; Rodentia; Muridae. The record is from RNAcentral.
CCUGCCCCUAGAGGCCUUGUCACAAGAACAUCAUUCAGUAGGUAGCAGGGAGGAAAGAGGCUCAGUGUUCUGAACUGGGAACAUCUGAAUGAAAUGAUCAUAGCCUAACAUU